UUUCUUUUUGUGACGCACUAAGUCAUCACUUAUAGAUAUACCCUUUUCGUGAUUGCAUUUAAGCUAUCACUAAUAUUUUAAUAUAAGAAAUAAUUAAAACAAUAUUUUAUGACGGUCGUGACAAUCAUUAAAAAGUUAGAUUUUUGUGACGACUUUUAUUUGCAAUUAUAAAAAGAAGGUAUUUUGUGAUGGAAUUUUCAAGCCGUCACAAAACAAUACAAUAUAUGAUGGCUCUUAGUGAUGAUUAAUUUUACCAUCAUUAUAGAGUAUUUGUGACUGCCAUUGCAAUCACCAAAUCUUAUUUCAAAGUAAUUUUGUUUAGUAAGUCAACUCACAUAUGUUUCCUUUUAUAUUUUGUUUUAAAAUUAUAAUCAUGAUCUGGACUUUGGUGUAGUGGUAAUACUCGUUAUUUAGUUUGCAAAUGGGAAAGGGUUCGAAUCCUACAAGUAUCAUUUGAUACAAUUAAUAUAGUGAAAUAAAUUAUACGUAAAUAGAGAUUCACGUUCUUACAUUUGAUCCCUAAAGUCUUGUUUUUUUUGUGAUGACUUUGACAAUCACAAUAGAUUAUAUGUUAAUGUGAUUGUAUUAAUCAUCACAAAAACACUAAGCGUUUACGUGAUUGCCAAAACCAUCACGUAAAACUUUUCAUGAUGGGCGUAUACAAGACGGCCAUUGUGAUGCUUAAAGCCAUCACGUAUACCUUUCGUGAUGAUUUUUCUAUUUUUUGUGAUGGAUUUAGGCCAUCACAAAUGACCAUUUUUUUAGUAGUGAAAUAAUUAUAAUUUCUUAUUAUUAAUAUAAAUUAAAUAAUUUUAAAGUUGUGGUUGUAAACUUGAGGUUGAAUAUAAAUUUUUAUAUUGAUAAUUUAAAAUUGAUGAAAAAUAUUCCAUUAAUAUAAUAAUAUUACAUUAUUAGAUACUAAAAGUUGAGACCCAAAAAAGUGUACUCGUUUUCUCACCUCGCAACUUAGUGCAAACAUUAUAAAUUGAAAUCACAUUUAUGAAUUCUACUUUUCUUUUAUAAAUGGUAUUCAAAGUAAAUAAUUCCAGUUAAUAAUGAAAAACAAAAUGGAUAUUUUAAUUACGUUAAUAUUUAUCAUUGUAUUGAUUAAAUUUUUUGAAAAAUAAUAUAAAUUUUAAUUUUAAAAAUAUCUUAAAUUGAUUUUAAAAAUUCAACGAUAAUUAAUUAAUAUGAAACAAAUAGAGUAUAUAUCAUUUAUUAUAUUUAUAUAUAAAGGUAAAAUAAUAAUAGCAUAGUUUAAAAAAAAUACUUUGUCUCCCCUUCUCUCAUUCUAAACUCACAAUCAAUGGAACAUAUAAUUAAAAAUAUCAUCACAAAUUAAACAUAACAAAAGAAAACUAUAAUAUCUUCUCAUGCCAUUCUUUCCUCUCUUAUAUUUUUCCUUUCAAUUCCAUCACAUCCUAUCCUUGCAAACUCACAAGUACAUCAUGUUAUAUAUGAUGAUAAACCAUAUAUAAGAAUAAGAUUCAAUAUAGAUUAAUUUUUCAGAACCAUAAUUAUAUUAAAAUACUUUCAAAGAAAAUUUAUAGAAACAAAGAAACACUUAAUUUUUUUCAUAAGACAUAAAUUGAUCGAAACGUACAGACACACACAUAUAUAUACACGUAUAUGUAUAUAUAUAUGAAAGACACUUUCAUGACAACUUUAGCUAUCAUAUGCCUAGCCAUAGAUACCCAUGAAAUUGCUACUUAGCACGAUAAGAAGCAUUUCAUUUUAUUUAUUUAUUUAGGCUAAUUAAUUUCAUGCAUGCAUGCAUAUGCAUGAUUUGAUUUAAGAUUCUGAUCGAUAUAUAUUUAUUUCUUGGCGCGCGCCGUUAAUUGAAUCAUCAACAAUCAAAGUAACAGAAGCAUUUCCAACUGCCUCGUUUGUGACAUGCUCCAUGUUUUGCACCUUCCCAGCUCUGGCACUGCUUAUCACAGUGCUGUGUGUUUCCGCACUUCCCGGACCAUGUCAAGCUUGCUUUUUCACACAGUUUUCCCUCAACACCUGCACAAUUAAUUAAUUAAUAUACCAAAAGUUAAUUUAAGAAAUUCAAACACACUAGUAUGCAUGCAUACACUAAACAUUAAUCUUAAAAAAAUACAAAAUUAACACUGAUACGUACGAUCAUUUAUAUAUUAAGUUUUACUUUAUAUAUUGUGAAAAAAUUGCAAACUAACCAAAAUAAAAAUAAAAAUUCCUCGCAUGAUUAUGAAUAUUGAUCAGAAUAGUGCUGAUGGAAUAUUGCACCAACAUGCAUGCAUAUAUAUAUAUAUAUAUAUAUAUAUAUAUAUAUAUAUAUAUAUAUAUAAAACAAUAAAUGCACCGGAUGUAAAAUCCAGGCUCAUCGAACAUAGUUCGACCACAGUUCAUAUAUAUAAAUAUAUAUAUAAAAGCGAGUAAACGCACCAGACCGAAGUCUAGGCUCAUCGAACAAAGUCCGACACACAGUUGAUAUACGUAGAAGGGUGUGUGCAAAGAUGAAGAGAAAGACUCUAAAGUGUAUGAGAAGGCUUACAGCUGACUGAUAAAAAGGGCUUCUAUAUCUUUAGAGUGGGUAAACACUGGGCUUUUGUGGGUACAAAAGAGGCUAUAUAUGAGCUCACAGGUGUUUGAAAGUGGGAAAAUACACUGUAUGGCGAGUGCAGAGCAAAUUGUGCAGGGUUUCCCCGUCUUUUUUCUCUUAAAAAUCAGCACCCCAAGCCUCUUAUUUAUAGGCAAAAGGUGNNNNNNNNNNNNNNNNNNNNNNNNNNNNNNNNNNNNNNNNNNNNNNNNNNNNNNNNNNNNNNNNNNNNNNNNNNNNNNNNNNNNNNNNNNNNNNNNNNNNUAUAUAUAUAAAUAUAGGUCGAAAUUAAAGAUAAGUAGUCACCUGUGUUAGCAAGGAGGAAAAAAAUUAGAGAGACUGUAAUGAAGGUAGUUGGGCUAAAUUUUAUUGCCAUGUUUAAUCUUCUUGAAUUGAACUAAACCAUUCAUUCAUUUUGUGGGGAAUUUAUAGUAAAUGAUUCUUGGCUAAGUCCGUGUUUGAUUUAUAUUUUUAAUUUACACGUGACGGACAAUAUUCUUAGGACGUGACAAAUACGAGAAUAGUUGCCACUACCCUAUAUAAUACUCCCUCCGUUCUUAAAAGAUUAUCGUUUUAUAAAAAAUAAUUUAUUUCAAUUUAUUUGUCGUUUAUAACUAUCGAAGAGAAUAAAUUAUUUACUUUCUUUUAUCACCCCUAGUCCUACGUACCUUCUCUCAUUUUUUCAAGAAAUUCUCUCCCUUAAUAAUUUUUAACUUCCCAUAAAAGAGUAGUGAUGAAAUUUCAAACAAAUUUUAAUUAUUAAAUGAUAGUGAGAUAAUAUAUAUAUAUAUAUAUAUAUAUAUAUAUAUAUAUAUAUAUAUAUAUAUAUAUAUAUAUAUAUAUAUAUAUUAUACAGUCAGAGUCACGCCUCCAUUGUUGAAAUUUUGUAGCAGUGUCCGCAAAAUGACUUGUUCCAUGCAUGAUAGAAAGCAUUUAUGUUUGUGAUCAUAUAAUGUUGGUCUAGAAAUCUUUUUGCUGCCUAAUUUCUCUCUCAUAUACGUACAAAUAAUCAUAGAAAUGCUUCCAUUAUUGAAGUUUGGUAAAACUAAUUAUUUCUCUACUGUAUUUGACAUCUUUUAUUUAUUUUUUUAUUAAAAUUUUAAUUUAUUCAACUAAUAUUUUAAUUUAAUUAAAAUAAUGAAAUUAAAUAGACGUUAACUUACUUCAAUUUUUUGACAAAACUAAUAAUUUUCUUACUUACUCGACAUAUUUUAUUUAUUACAACACUAAAAUUCAUUUAUGUGAAAACCAUCACAAUUUGCAUGACUUGAUAAAAGAAUCAAAUGACAAAAAUUCAAAUACGUGAAAACGGAAGUGGUUAACAUAAAAUUUAUUUUUGGGUAAGUUGGUCAAUUAAUUAAUAAAAUAUUGACAUACAAACGAUGUUCUAUAUGUAUCAAUAUUUUAUUAAUUAAUUGACAAAUUUACUUAAAAAUAAAUUUCACACUGACCGAAUCCCGUAAAAACCAUCACAAUUUCCAUAUGCAGGAGUUAGGACCCACUAGUGGGUAGUCAUAUCUAGCCUUGCAAGCCACGUGUGUGGACCCCCAUAAUUUCAUUUUUCAAAUAACUUGCUUUUCUUGACAAUCUAUGGGGAAGGGGAAGGGGAAGGAAGCGGAAAUUUUUGGGUUUUUUAGUAGAGAAGUGAUUAUGAUUUUCUAUUGAGUUUUUUUUAGAUGGAUAUAAAAAUUAGAUUAAAAUAUAUUAAAAUUUUAUUUAUUUAUAUUUUUAAUUUUUAAUAUAAAAAUUAAAAUAUAAAUAAAUAAAAUUUAAAUAUAUUUAUAUUUAAUUUUUAUGUUCAAUUUUACUUAAUAAAAUAAUCAAAUGACAAAAAAUUCAAAUAUGUGAAAACCAUCACGAUUUGCAUAUGUAGGACCCACUAGUGGGUAGUCAUAUCUAGCCUUGCAAGUCACAUGUGUGGACCGCCAUAAUUUCAGUUUUCAAAUAACUUGCUAUUCUUGACAAUCUUUUGGGAUGGGAAAGAAAGGGGAAUUUUUUUGAUUUUUAGUGAGGAAGUGAUUGUGAUUUCUCACUUACCUUUUUUUACUGGACAUCAAAAUUAGAUAUAAAAUUAAAAAUUAAUGUAUUUAAAUUUUAUUUAUUUAUAUUUUUAUCUUUUAAUAAAUAUCAAAAUAAAACUAAAUAAAAUUUAAAUAUAUUUAUAUUUAAUUUAUAUAUCUAAUUUUUAUGUUCACCAACAAUUUUUAUUUCUCAAUAGUACAUCCACGGAAAUUGCAUGUUUCUCGUUAAUGAUUUUGGAGUGACAGAAGUGGUGGGCCUUUUUUCUAGUCUAUGUUAUGCAGAGUUGGAUGGAUUGUUUGGUUAAAUACGCAAUUUUGUAUAGUGUUAUUUAAAUAUUUUUUUAAUUUUGUCAUAUUUUUACACUAAAAUAAAAUAUUUAAUAUUUAUAUUUCUGUUCAAAUGUGGAGUGUUGAACACAAAUAAUUCAAAAUAAAAUAAAGGAUAAAAUGAAGAGUGUGUAACAUAAUUUCUAGUACAAUGGAGUACUCCAUACGUUUCAAAAUAACUGUUCAGUUUUAAUUAUUUUGAUCAAAUUGAUUAUUUUUAAAAUUAAUAAUUAAGCACAUAUAAAUAUUUUUUAAAAUUAUAAAAAUUGAAAUUGAUAAUAAAUCAUAUGUAGUUUGUUAGUGUCAAUCCCUUCACCUAUAUUUUAGAUACAAAAAAUUUAAAAAUAAUUAAUUCGACCCAAAAAAUAAAAUAAAUCAAAACUGGUCAUUGAUGGUGGGAGGAUUGGGGGGAGUAUUACAUAUAGAACUUCCACUCUCAUCUCACGUCAUGCAAAGAUAAGGAUCCGGUUAGUAUAAAUACUCCGCCAUCAGCCUGGUGAUAUAGCGGUGUAUUUAAUUAUUUUUUUAUUACGUGAUGUGAUUACGUGUUGAGGGGGAAAUUGUUGAGGUAGUAAAGUCUUACAUGCAGCAUGACACAUGCUUUUGAAUAACAAUGACAUGCAUAUUGAAAUAAAUAUAUAUUGAAUUAAACCAUUUUGUGGGGUAUUUAUUUGUUUCACCGUUCAUGCAUGAUAUAUAUUGAAGCAUGUAUUUUAGAAGAAUCUUAAAAUAUCAAUUCUCAAUUUCAAGUUGAAUUUAAUUUAGAAGAGAAACUUGUCGCGGAUCAAGAAUUAAGACCAUCUAUAAUGAAAUAUGAUGCUAACAUAGAGAAAAUAUUGGUCAAGAAUAUUUACUUAAGGGCCCUCAUGAUCAACCAAUGAUUUGUUAAUAUUAUUAUGAUUAGUUAAUAUACUGAUUAGUAUAUGUUUUUUUUAAUUUAAUUUUAACAAAAAAUUUAGUUAAAAUACGCCUUUGUUUGGAAAAAUUUCUGAAUGAUCCGCUCAUGUGUAAGGGUAAUAUAACAAUAUAUAGUAUAUUUUAAAAAUAAAAAUAAUAUGUCCUCCAUUCCCUCAUUCAAAACUCAGAAACAAUAAAAAAUAUAAUUAAAAUUCUCAUCAUUUUUCUUAUUUUUUAAAACACACAAAUAUAACGAAAAAAAAAUUAUAAUCCAUUCCCCUCUUAUUCUUACCCUUCACAUUCCAUUCCAUCCCAUCCCAUCCCAUCAAACUGACAAGCACAACAAGUUAUAUAUGAUGAUAAUCAUAAGCGUCAAUAUAGAUUAAUUUUUCAGAAGUAUUACACGCCAUAAUUAUAUUGAAGUAUUUUCAAAGAAAAUUUAUAGAUUAAUCAAAGAAACACUUAAUUUUUUCAUAAGACAUAAAUUGAUCGAAAAGUACAGACACACAUAAUAUAUAUAUAUAUAUAUAUAUAUAUAUAUAUAUAUAUAUAUAUAUAUAUAUAUAAGACACUUUCAUGACAACUUUAGUUAUCAUAUGCCUGCCUAGUUAUAGUGACCCAUGAAAUUGCUACUUAGCACCAUAAGAAGCAUUUCAUUUUAUUUAUUUAUUUAGCACGAUAAGAAGAAAUUUAUUUCUUGGCGCCGUACGUUAAUUAGAUCAUCAGCAAUCAAAGUAACAGAAGCAUCUCCGAUCGCGACAUGCUCCACGUUUUGCAGAUUCCGCGUUCUGGCACUGCUGUUCACAGUGGCCUGAGUCUCCGCACCUCCCGGACCAUGUCACGCUUAGUUUUUCACAUAAUUUUCCCUCAACACCUAUAUUUGUUUCUGCACAAUUAAUUAAUAAAUAUACCAAAAGUUAGUUUAAGACAGUCAAACACGUACAUGUAUUUAAUACUAAUUAAUAUUGUUGAUUAUGAAUGCAUGCACUAAAAAUUAAUCUUUAAAAAAAAUACAAAAUUAGCACUGGUAGGUACGAUCAUUUAUAUAUAAACUUUUACUUUAUAUAUUGUAAAAAAAUUGCAAAUUAAAGAUAAGUAGUCACCUGUGUUAGCAAUGAGGAAAAAAAUUAGAGAGAUUGUAAUGAAGGUAGUUGGGCUAAAUUUUAUUGCCAUGUUUAAUCUUCUUGAAUAUAUUGAACUAAACCAUUCAUUCAUUUUGUGGGGAAUUUAUAGUAAAAGAUUCUUGGCUACUAGGUUUGAUUUGCAUGUUUAAUUUAGAUGUGAAGACGCGUGACACAAUACAAGAAUGGAGUAUAUAGUUGGCACGGGCCCUAUAUAAUAUAGUAUAUCCGGCCAGCUGCAAAAUGAAAGCACUUUGCUGACU
Molecule: long non-coding RNA, 7192 nt
Filed under: Panax ginseng (ginseng)
Lineage: Eukaryota; Viridiplantae; Streptophyta; Magnoliopsida; Apiales; Araliaceae
Description: long non-coding RNA (PGIN_LNC008963)
Source: RNAcentral